Molecule: ribosomal RNA, 910 nt
Filed under: Dothiora sorbi
Lineage: Eukaryota; Fungi; Ascomycota; Dothideomycetes; Dothideales; Dothioraceae
Description: LSU rRNA
Rfam family: Eukaryotic large subunit ribosomal RNA
Source: RNAcentral
GCAUAUCAAUAAGCGGAGGAAAAGAAACCAACAGGGAUUGCCCUAGUAACGGCGAGUGAAGCGGCAAUAGCUCAAAUUUGAAAGCUGGCCUUAUGGUCCGCAUUGUAAUUUGUAGAGGAUGCUUUUAGGCAGCCGCCGGUCUAAGUUCCUUGGAACAGGACGUCAUAGAGGGUGAGAAUCCCGUAUGUGACCGGCUCUGGCACCUUAUGUAAAGCUCCUUCGACGAGUCGAGUUGUUUGGGAAUGCAGCUCUAAAUGGGAGGUAAAUUUCUUCUAAAGCUAAAUACUGGCGAGAGACCGAUAGCGCACAAGUAGAGUGAUCGAAAGAUGAAAAGCACUUUGGAAAGAGAGUUAAAAAGCACGUGAAAUUGUUGAAAGGGAAGCGCUUGCAAUCAGACUUGGACUUGGCUGUUCAACCGGUCUUCUGACCGGCCCACUCAGUCUUGUCCAGGCCAGCAUCAGUUUCGGCGGCCGGAUAAAGGCCCUGGGAAUGUAGCUGUUCCUUCGGGGACAGUGUUAUAGCCCAGGGUGUAAUACGGCCAGCUGGGACUGAGGUCCGCGCUUCGGCUAGGAUGCUGGCGUAAUGGUUGUAAGCGGCCCGUCUUGAAACACGGACCAAGGAGUCUAACAUCUAUGCGAGUGUUAGGGUGUCAAACCCUUACGCGUAAUGAAAGUGAACGGAGGUGGGAACCCGCAAGGGUGCACCAUCGACCGAUCCUGAUGUCUUCGGAUGGAUUUGAGUAAGAGCAUAGCUGUUGGGACCCGAAAGAUGGUGAACUAUGCCUGAAUAGGGUGAAGCCAGAGGAAACUCUGGUGGAGGCUCGCAGCGGUUCUGACGUGCAAAUCGAUCGUCAAAUUUGGGUAUAGGGGCGAAAGACUAAUCGAACCAUCUAGUAGCUGGUUCCUGCCGA